Molecule: ribosomal RNA, 981 nt
Filed under: Triticum aestivum (bread wheat)
Lineage: Eukaryota; Viridiplantae; Streptophyta; Magnoliopsida; Poales; Poaceae
Description: partial small subunit ribosomal RNA
Source: RNAcentral
AUGAGAUCAUCAAGGCCAGCAAAGAGUUCGGCUUCUUCCAGGCACGCACGCACGCACCACCGCAAUUGUUUGUUUAUCGAUCCGCGCCACUCAGCUAUUGAUUUUGGACUCGGUACUCCAUGGAUGUGCUGCAAACAGGUUGUGAACCAUGGCGUGGGCGACGAGGUGGUCGGGGCGUUUCGGUCCGCGGCGGCGGAGUUCUUCGCCAUGCCGGCGGAGGAGAAGCUCCCCUACUACUCCGACGACCUCACCAAACCGUUCCGCGUCGACACCAGCACCACCUACGUCCUCGACCGUAGCGGCGGCGGUCGGUACUGGCGCGACUACAUUCAGCUGCAGUGCUUCCCCGUCGACAGGUUCUCGCAGGACUGGCCGGCCGAGCCAGCCGCCUUCGUGCCCAGCCUGGCCGCGUACGCCACAGCGGUGCGGACGCUGGCCGCCACGUUGCUCGGGCUCAUCGCCGAGGGGCUCGGGCUGGAGGAGAGCUUCUUCCGCGGCGAGCUCAGCGGCGGCUGGACGCUGAUGAACGUGAACUGGUACCCGCCGUGCCCGGACCCGAGCCUGACGCUGGGCCUGCUGCCGCACUGCGACCGACCACUCCUGACCGUGCUGUCGCAGGGCGACGUCAGCGGCCUCCAGGCCAAGCACAAGGGCCGGUGGAUCGCCGUGCAGCCCGUCCCAAACGCUUUCGUCAUAAACUUCGGCCACCUGAUGGAGAUCGUGACGAACGGGUUGCUUCAGAGCGUAGAGCACCGCGCAGUGACCAACUCCAGUGCGGCGAGGUUGUCGGUGGUGACCAUCAUGUUGCCGGACAUGGACUGCCGCAUCGAGCCCGCGCCGGCGCUGGUGACCGAGGGGGGGCAGGCCAAGUUCAGACCGUUCCUCUUCCGGGAGUUCAACGAGGCGUACGCCGCCGCCGCAGCCAACCGGGAGGACGUGCUCCAGCGCUUUAGGAUCUACCCUGCGGGUACAAUGGAGUGA